CAUGCAGGAAAUCAGUAUCCACACACCUGAUAGUUAGUUCAUAGACACUUUUAAGUUGUUUUUAAGCACAAUUCACUUUUUUCUUUCAAAUUAAAAAGAUCACCUAAAUCUAGGGAUUAUUCUAAUCCUUUUAAGUGUGGAAUUAUGUUUAGAAUAGGAGCAGUAUCCAGGAAAAACUAAUAAUUAGAGCCACUAAUUACAGGAAGUGAGACUUGCACUGAGAUGAAUAAAUAGCAGUCUCAGUGCUGUGCCAGUUCAUUUUGGAUGUGGCUGUUACUUGUGUCUCUUUCCUGGUGGCUGCAGGUUCAAAUUUAACAGACCCUGCAUAAAAACUGAAAAGAGUCUGCAACCAGGUUAAUUAACUAGCUGAAUACCCUUAAAGGCGUAUGCGUUUAUGCUUGGUUUUACCAUCCUACAACCAUUCUGGGUGAAUUAUCCAUCUCUAUUAAAAGUUGGUCCUAUAUAUAUGGGCUAUGGAUGUUUUAUAUCCAUGAAGGCCUUUGUUCCUUCCUUUUUUUGGGUUCAAAUUUAACAGACCCUGCAUAAAAACUGAAAAGAGUCUGCAACCAGGUUCAUUAACUAGCUGAAUACCCUUAAAGGCGUAUGCGUUUAUGCUUGGUUUUACCAUCCUACAACCAUUCUGGGUGAAUUAUCCAUCUCUAUUAAAAGUUGGUCCUAUAUAUAUGGGCUAUGGAUGUUUUAUAUCCAUGAAGGCCUUUGUUCCUUCCUUUUUUUGUGAUACCAUACAGAAACCCCUGAUGAAGUCGUUCUGACGAAACGCGUUGGGUCGAAUCCGUUACGGUCUCUUAUCUAGUUCAUUAAUACACCCUACAGAAUAUACACCUAUAAGGGUGAGGGUGUUCUUUAAAGGCUUGAACAGAAAACCUAUUGACUGUAUCUGGAUGUUUUUCUUUUAAGAAUGUUUAUAUGAAUGUAUGGAACCUUUUAUCUGUAAAAAAAAUGUUCAUAUGAAUUUAUGGAAUUCUAUAUGUUUUUUAAUAAAAAC
Molecule: long non-coding RNA, 1006 nt
Organism: Pseudophryne corroboree (corroboree frog)
Lineage: Eukaryota; Metazoa; Chordata; Amphibia; Anura; Myobatrachidae
Exons: 6
Source: RefSeq, a predicted model, not a curated record